Jaculus jaculus (lesser Egyptian jerboa) is the source of this 1095-nucleotide long non-coding RNA. RefSeq lists it as uncharacterized. NCBI's taxonomy places the organism in Eukaryota, Metazoa, Chordata, Mammalia, Rodentia, Dipodidae. The transcript is spliced from 3 exons. The record is from RefSeq and is a predicted model, not a curated record.
AGGAAUAUCCAGAGUCGUAGCCCUCCCCGCCACGAUGGUCUGCUGCUCUCCUGACUCAAAACCUACAAACUCCAUGGCGAAUACCAGCGAUCCCACUAAGGAGAGUCCUCAGUGGAGUGCAGUGUCACGUGUUUCCCUCCAGAAUGCAAUUGACAAGCCAAUUUACAUGGAUUGGGAAGUGACACGGAUCGGGAAGUGACAUGGGACAACACGCUAGCAUGCGCAUUUGGUUUGUCCAUCAUGGAAGAGCUGACAGAAGAAUAGACAAAAUGCAACUCCUUCAUUUCCAAAUGUCCCCAGAUCUGGCAAUGGGAACAGGGACAAGUUUCAUCACUGCAGCUCGACUGUUAGCUUCUGGGAGGAGACUGUGUGUUAUGAACAAUAUUAAGAUCACAAGCCCCUUUGAUGAGGACUAGAAAAGGAUUCAAAAACAUUGCCAGUUGGAUGGAUGUGAAUCACAUGACAGAGACCAAUAGAAACCAAGGACGCAAACCCUAGCUGAUGAAGUUGCAUUUACCUGGUCCCUGGGAAACCUGCAGACACACUGCUCAGCUGCUUGUCAGAGGGGUACACUCAGCCUCAAGCGUGGGAAGAGAGGCUCCAAGGAAAUGGGGGUGAAGUGGAUGGCCUUGUCAGCGAACCCAACACUUUGCUACCACGAAAUAGACUGCGUAGUUGAAACCAAACAGCCCAUGGCACAGGAUGGUGAUAAAGGGCAUCCAGUGAGUAAGAAAGGGGUUCUGUGGCCGUCACACCCAAAGCCCAAGAGUGUGACCGCGCCUGACACCCAUGAGCACGCCCAGCCUCGCUAACUCCUCCCGUCUCGGGCUUGUUCAACACUUAGCCUUAUGCUCAUCUUUUGGCUCUUACCAUCAUUAUUGUUGCAAAUAUCAAGCAUAUGUUAAGGACCAUCCAUGUCUAGGGAUAAGAGCUCUCAGGUCAGAGCUAGAGAUGUGGCCAGGGCUGUCUCCCGCUUUCAGCAGGGCCAUGGUUAGCACACUUUCAUGCCUCUAUGCACUUGCAUUUGCUGUAACUUUCACCUAAAAUGCUCCUCCCUUAUUCUCCACUUUGUAAACUCCUACUCAUCCACUAGAA